Molecule: long non-coding RNA, 705 nt
Organism: Ipomoea triloba (trilobed morning glory)
Lineage: Eukaryota; Viridiplantae; Streptophyta; Magnoliopsida; Solanales; Convolvulaceae
Exons: 5
Source: RefSeq, a predicted model, not a curated record
ACCACCGCACCACGCUCUCGCCUAGCCUGCGAGCCUGGUAGACUGGCCUGCAAAAGCCUGCCAAAAAAAUAAGCUCGCGGUGUGACGGACUAGUCCGCUUUGAUAGUACUAGUUGUAUGGACCGUGGUCCAGGUUUGUGGCUAUUGGAUUGUACCGUUUAAAGAGCACCGGAAAUCCGAACCGACUUUAUCUCCGGUGCGGCUUUCAGAGCCGAUAACUUCUUCUCCGGGAGGCAGAUUUUCUGGGCGAAAGUUUACUCAGAGGGUAAUUGUUUGAAGAUUAAACUCCCAACAGAGAUGGAUCCUAGAUACGCAGGAGAAACGCAAAAACAUUUAGAGAAGGAAUACGAGCUCCUUAUGGAAGUCUAUAAUUCGAUGUCGCACGAAUUGCAUACGCUUCAGGUUGAGGAAGAAAUGCUGAUGCGCAAGUUCUAUGAACUCAUGACUGCUCGUGGUCAAACUGAAAGCAAAGCAGCAGAUAAUGAUGGCAUGGAUAACCAACAGAAGGGUGCUGAAUGAGCUUUAGUCAGUGUGAGGAGUGAUGAGCAGUAAUGCUGCAAUGGUGCGUUUGAUCUUUUCAUUUUGGAUCUGUAAAUUCUGUAGUCUGUCAACAUUGCAUAUUGAGAUUUGCUGUUAUGGAGGUAAUUCUUUAUUCUUGUGUUUUUCAAAGAACCAUCCUUUUAAAUUCGUGGCUCUGUUCUUAGUA